This 253-nucleotide ribosomal RNA is filed under the name uncultured bacterium. Its description in RNAcentral is "partial 16S ribosomal RNA". It matches the Rfam family "Bacterial small subunit ribosomal RNA", at positions 524 to 776 of the family's 1533-position model. The record is from RNAcentral.
UACAGAGGUGGCAAGCGUUGUUCGGAAUUACUGGGCGUAAAGGGCGCGUAGGCGGCCAUCUAAGUCAGACGUGAAAUCCCCCGGCUUAACCUGGGAACUGCGUCUGAUACUGGACGGCUUGAGUAUGGGAGAGGGAUGUAGAAUUCCAGGUGUAGCGGUGAAAUGCGUAGAUAUCUGGAGGAACACCGGUGGCGAAGGCGGCGUCCUGGACCAACACUGACACUGAGGAGCGAAAGCCAGGGGAGCAAACGGG